This 313-nucleotide ribosomal RNA is filed under the name Xanthomonas citri pv. citri. RNAcentral's name for it is "partial 23S ribosomal RNA". It matches the Rfam family "Bacterial large subunit ribosomal RNA", at positions 1420 to 1729 of the family's 2925-position model. The record is from RNAcentral. Lineage: Bacteria; Pseudomonadati; Pseudomonadota; Gammaproteobacteria; Lysobacterales; Lysobacteraceae.
GGACAACAGGUUGAUAUUCCUGUACCACCUCCUCACCAUUUGAGCAAUGGGGGGACGCAGGAGGAUAGGGUAAGCGCGGUAUUGGAUAUCCGCGUCCAAGCAGUUAGGCUGGGAAAUAGGCAAAUCCGUUUCCCAUAAGGCUGAGCUGUGAUGGCGAGCGAAAUAUAGUAGCGAAGUUCCUGAUUCCACACUGCCAAGAAAAGCCUCUAGCGAGGUGAGAGGUGCCCGUACCGCAAACCGACACAGGUAGGCGAGGAGAGAAUCCUAAGGUGAUCGAGAGAACUCUCGUUAACGAACUCGGCAAAAUGACGCC